RNAcentral lists this ribosomal RNA (459 nucleotides) under uncultured bacterium. RNAcentral describes it as "partial 16S ribosomal RNA". It matches the Rfam family "Bacterial small subunit ribosomal RNA", at positions 338 to 795 of the family's 1533-position model. The record is from RNAcentral.
CCUACGGGAGGCAGCAGUGAGGAAUAUUGGUCAAUGGGCGUAAGCCUGAACCAGCCAAGUCGCGUGAGGGAUGAAGGUCCUAUGGAUCGUAAACCUCUUUUAUAAGGGAAUAAAGUGCGGUACGUGUCCCGUUUGGUAUGUCACUUAUGAAUAAGGAUCGGCUAAAUCCGUGCCAGCCGCCGCGGUAAUACGGAGGAUCCCAGCGUUAUCCGGAUUUAUUGGGGGUAAAGGGUGCGUAGGCGGAAUGCCAAGUCAGCGGUAAAAUCGCGGGGCUCAACCUCGCUUCGCCGUUGAAACUGGCGUUCUUGAGUGGGCGAGAAGUAUGCGGAAUGCGUGGUGUAGCGGUGAAAUGCAUAGAUAUCACGCAGAACUCCGAUUGCGAAGGCAGCAUACCGGCGCCCAACUGACGCUGAAGCACGAAAGCGUGGGUAUCGAACAGGAUUAGAUACCCCAGUAGUC